Molecule: unclassified non-coding RNA, 243 nt
Filed under: Rhizophagus sp. (in: glomeromycetes)
Lineage: Eukaryota; Fungi; Glomeromycota; Glomeromycetes; Glomerales; Glomeraceae
Description: partial contains 5.8S ribosomal RNA and internal transcribed spacer 2
Source: RNAcentral
GUGAAUCAUCGAAUUUUUGAACGCAAAUUGCACUCUCUUGGGAGAGUAGGCGUGUUUGUGGGUCAGUAUUAAUAAAAAUCGGUGUGUUGCUUCUUUGUGACGCUCCGGAGUUUGGGUCAUCUUAAUAUCCUUUUGGUUUUAAGAGGCUUAAAAUGGACUCUUUUUGCGCAUUUUAGAUGUACAUACUUUCCUUUUUUAAUUCGGCUGUCUUAAUGCUCCAUAUCCUAUUAUUUACGUCCAUAC